ACACACAUACUAUAAGUAUUCUUACNGAUUUUGUAGCAAACAAGAAACAAUCCCUCACUGAAUGCUUCUCCUUUCCAAUCCUUCCAAGGUAUGAAAGACAAAACUCUANUAAACUGAGCGUGGGAGUUUUGCACGACCCCUAAGAUGGGUUUGCAUCCACGCAGUGCUAUACUAAAGGUAUGUAACUGGGUAGUUGCGUGAGUGUACGUGUGUAUACAUAUACAUAUUUGAAAGGCGGAGAAAGAAUGAAACACGUGUUUGAUACUUUCACAUGUACCCCNCUUCCAGCCAUCCCCGCUAUGCCUACGACUCGAGGUUCUGCCAGCCAGUCACAGCCAACAAACAGCACAUAAGACAGCUUUUUACCCCUCAAGGGAACCUGAUUGUUACAUAUCCACCAAGAGCUUGAAAAGCCAUCAAGAGGAAGAUGCGAAAGGGGGGAGGGCGCUAUAAUGAAAACUAGACUGGCCCGGGUUAUUUAUAACGCCCCACGGAAAGAAGUCGGGGGGAGCUGCUCCCUAAUGGAGAGCUUGGCACAGCGGGCAGGAAGGCUAAGAGGGCGAAGGAAAGCGGCUGAUCUCCCGCUAUUUUCGCUCCUCCUCAAAAGCCCAAAGGCCAACCGGUUUUCCAGCCUCCCCCUUUCAACCGCGGCUACAGAAGCAGGCGGGCGGCGGCAGCAGCGCGGGGGAACAGAUGAUGAACUACGAAGCCGCACGCAGUAACACCUCUCGCAAAGGUGGAGACCCCCACCCCCCCCAAACACACACACACACAGAGAAACAGCCCGGUCCGCCUCAGCUUUCCGUCCUUCUCCCACCCUGCCGUUGUUGUCUGUAUACACGCACGCACACACACACACGCGCGCACGCGACGACGGCGACAGACGCAACGGCUGGACGGACCACGCAAUCUCUCAGUCAGCUCCGGCCGGUCUAUUUCCAGAAAGCAACAUGGGGGAAUCACUGCUUAGGGCAUGUUCCAACACGGCCUUUAAUUAGUUUACAGCCCAUCUUCACUUCCAGCUGGUCCAACAUGAAUUUGCCUUUCCAUAGUUUUUCUGGACUAAAUUACCAAAACCUGGACUACUUUGCAUUGGAAUUAAAUGAGUUCUCAGCCCAUUUCANGUUGGUAGCCUCUUUUACUUUGUGAUGUGAAAAUGCACAAGUAGACUAUUUGGGAGGGGGNGUACUUUUGGGGGGGNAUGCAGAGGGAGACUCCCCAUUUCCUGUCAUCCAGUGAUGGACUCUGUUGUAGGCAUUGUACUUGGGAGGAUGGGCACCACAGCAAGCAG
This 1291-nucleotide long non-coding RNA is filed under the name Salvator merianae (Argentine black and white tegu). RNAcentral's name for it is "lncRNA (ENSSMRG00000018572.1)". Lineage: Eukaryota; Metazoa; Chordata; Lepidosauria; Squamata; Teiidae. The record is from RNAcentral.